AAACGGGUGGUAAUGCCGGAUGCUCCAGCUGAUCGCAUGGUGUGUUGGGAAAGCCUUUGCGGCAUGGGAUGGGGUCGCGUCCUAUCAGCUUGAUGGCGGGGUAACGGCCCACCAUGGCUUCGACGGGUAGCCGGCCUGAGAGGGCGACCGGCCACAUUGGGACUGAGAUACGGCCCAGACUCCUACGGGAGGCAGCAGUGGGGAAUAUUGCACAAUGGGCGCAAGCCUGAUGCAGCGACGCCGCGUGAGGGAUGGAGGCCUUCGGGUUGUAAACCUCUUUUGUUAGGGAGCAAGGCAUUUUGUGUUGAGUGUACCUUUCGAAUAAGCACCGGCUAACUACGUGCCAGCAGCCGCGGUAAUACGUAGGGUGCAAGCGUUAUCCGGAAUUAUUGGGCGUAAAGGGCUCGUAGGCGGUUCGUCGCGUCCGGUGUGAAAGUCCAUCGCUUAACGGUGGAUCCGCGCCGGGUACGGGCGGGCUUGAGUGCGGUAGGGGAGACUGGAAUUCCCGGUGUAACGGUGGAAUGUGUAGAUAUCGGAA
Molecule: ribosomal RNA, 538 nt
Filed under: Bifidobacterium breve
Lineage: Bacteria; Bacillati; Actinomycetota; Actinomycetes; Bifidobacteriales; Bifidobacteriaceae
Description: bacterial SSU rRNA
Rfam family: Bacterial small subunit ribosomal RNA
Source: RNAcentral